UGCCAGCCGCCGCGGUAAGACGGAGGGUCCUAGCGUUGUUCGGAAUGACUGGGCGUAAAGGGUACGUAGGCGGUUUGGUCAGUUAGAUGUGAAAGCCCAGGGCUCAACCGUGGAACUGCUUUGCAUACUGCAGGGCUAGAGGACGGUAGGGGAGAGCGGAACUCCUGGUGGAGCGGUGAAAUGCGUAGAUAUCUGGAGGAACAUCAGUGGCGAAGGCGGCUCCCUGGCCAAAGACUGACGCUCAUGUGCGAAAGUGUGGGUAGCGAACAGGAUUAGAUA
Molecule: ribosomal RNA, 279 nt
Filed under: uncultured bacterium
Lineage: Bacteria
Description: partial 16S ribosomal RNA
Rfam family: Bacterial small subunit ribosomal RNA
Source: RNAcentral